Ostrea edulis (European flat oyster) is the source of this 7733-nucleotide long non-coding RNA. RefSeq lists it as uncharacterized. The record is from RefSeq and is a predicted model, not a curated record. The transcript has 2 exons. Lineage: Eukaryota; Metazoa; Mollusca; Bivalvia; Ostreida; Ostreidae.
UGGUAUCUCGUAAUUAUUUACAAUUUUAUAUCUUUUUCAGAAUAUAUUUCAUGAUAGUCGUGAAGAUACAGAAGUUGUGAUGGUGUGUUGAUAGGCUGUCUUCAACUUGCCAUAUCUGAGAGUUCCAACAUGCAGGCCUGGAUUAAUGUUUUAUCACAACAAAUGGAUGGGACAGUAGAGUUGUUGCGGACAAUAUGUGAUUGUGAUGACCAAGUACUGAACAAGUGGAAGAUUAGAAGGUCCAGAAUUCAAUCAUGUUUUUGAUUCUAAGGCGCAGACAGCAUGGAGAUAGUCCUAUUAUUCUCCCAUUCAUCUAUGAUGGAGAAACUUGUGUAAAUGUUUACAGUGUUCUCCCUAAUAAGGGCCCACAAGUCUAUUAAUUUAUCAGAAUAUAAAGUCCUUCACAGUACUCAGAAGUACUGACUUUAAAAUUCAUGUAGAUUGUCUCCAGAUUUUUCUGAGGAAAAGUGCAUAGUUCACAUGUGUGAAUUUUGAAUAUAUUUCAUUCUUGUCUGCAAAUGUUGCUGAAACCUGUUAUUGAUACACAUAGUCAUGUUAUGCAAAUGAUAGACCUCCUUUUUAAUUACAUGUCCUUAAGAUCAUGUCAACUCCUUUGUCUUAAUUGUAUAUACAAUUCUAGCAUUUAUAGCAUCAUUUGUAUAGCACUUGCUAGUUUAAUAAGGAUUUUAUUUUUUAAAAACUUUCAUUUGACAUGAUUGAUCUAAAACGGCCAAAAUUCACAAAUCUAUUUAAAUCACAACCUGACCUUAGGCCAGAAAAGUGCCACAGUGGGUUGAUAUUUUUCUCUUCGAUCUUGAAAGAAAUUCUUUAUGCAGCAGUUUCCAAAUAAAAUGUACUCUCAUGGCCAGGGUGGGACUUCACCGAGAACCUUUUAACAUUGCACAAUGCAAUAUUUGUGGAUUAGAAGCUGUUGCAGUUUCUUUAAGUUUUCUCUCACAUCUUGUUAUAAUUAUAUUUUUGGUCGGGUUGCACAAUGUGCAAACAGUUUAUAAAAUGCUGAAUGACUGUUGGGCAAGCGACAAUAGCGUCCCUGUAAUAGUACCUACUUUGUGUAAUCAACUCCUUUCACACCUCUCACUUGAUGUUCCUCAAACUUUGUACAGUUGUUAGGGAUACAUCGAAGAUGUGCGUGUACCUUUUUGAAAGUGAUCAGACAUUUUUUGAAAAAUUUACAUGUAGUUAAACUUCCUCAUUUUUUAAGCAUUUCUUUAAUCGACAGUAUCUAUUUUGUGUAAUCAACUCCUCGUAUACCUCUAAUUUGACAUUCCUCAAACUGUGUACAGUUGUUAUGAAUACAUUGAAGAUGUGCAUAUGUGUUUUUGAAAGUGAUCAGACAUUUUAAAAAAAAAAUGUACAUCUAGUUGAACUUAGUCAUUUUAAAGCAUUUCUUGAAUAGAUGGUAACUAUUUUGUGUAAUCAAAUCCUCAUGCACCUCUAACUUGACAUUCCUUAAAAUUUGUACAGUUGUUAUGAACACAUUGAAGAUGUGCAUGUGUCUUUUUGAAAAUGAUUAGACUUUUUUUUUUUUUUAAUUACGUGUAGUUGAACUUGUUAUUUUUUUAUGCAUUUCUUGAAUAGAUGGUACCUAUUUUGUGUGAUCAACUCGUGCACAUCUAAAUUGAUAUUCCUCAAACUUUGUACAGUAGUUAUGGACACAUUGAAGAUGUGCAUGUGUCUUUUUGAAAGUGAUCAGACUUUUUUCAAAAAAAUUACAUUUAGUUGAACUUUGUCAUUUUUAUAAAGCAUUUCCUGAAUAGUUGGUACCUAUUUUUUGUAAUCAACUCCUCUUACAGCAUUUAUUUGACAUUCUUCAGACCUUGAACAGCUGUUAUGGAAGCAUUGUAAAUGUGCAUGUGUCUUUUCGGAAGUGAUCAGGCAUUCUUUGAAAAAUUUACAUGUGCAUAGUGAAGUUGAACUUAGUCAUUUUUUAAGCAUGGUACUUUAUGUAACCAACUCAUCUUUUACUUAACAUUUUCCAAACCCUGUACAUUAUAGAUGUUAUAAAAACAUUGAAGAUUUACAUCUAACAUUUUAAAAAUGUUUCUCUCUUUUUUUUUCUUUUUUUGUUGUUGUCAUUUUUCCAGUAUGUUUCUACUGUUGUUCCUAUGAUAGAUAACAUAUUUACAAGAACCUGGUCAUUUCUGUUUUUGAAUCUCUCUUUUUUUUAAUUAGUAUUUUUGAAUAUGUUAAUUACUUGAUAUGUCAUUGUUCUUGAAAUUAUAUUAAUUGAAUUAUUAUUGUGUUUUUGUUUUGUAAUAUGACAGUUUAUAUAGGAUCCCUUAAUUUCAAGCAGAUAGUGCCAAAAGUGUGCCGCAAGUUUGCCGCAAACUGUGUGCCAGAAGUGUGCAGCAAGAGCGUGCCGCAAGUUUGCCGCAAACUGUGUGCCAGAGGAAAAAUUUGCAUACGAAAAGUAUACUUGCGGCAAAUAUGCCGCACACUGUGUGCCAGAAGUGUGCAGCAAGUGUGUGCCGCAAGUUUGCUGCAAACUGUGUGCCAGAGGAAAAAUUUGCAUACGAAAAGUAUACUUGCGGCAAAUAUGCCGCACACUGUGCCAGAAGUGUGCAGCAAGUGUGUGCUGCAACUGUGCCACAAACUGUGUGCCAGAGGAAAAAUUUGCAUACGAAAAGUAUACUUGCGGCAAAUGUGCCGCAACUAGUUGCGGCAAACUUGCCGCAAAUGCGCUGCAAAUUUGCAGCAACUGUGUGCCAGAGGGCUUAUAUUUUGGUAAGGGUAUACUACUGGGCAUCCACAACCGGCGAUACCAAUGUUAUAUAUAGCUUCUUCCCUCUAACUGUUGCGUAAAUAACAGCUAGGUAUCUGAAUUUUAAUCAUUAAAUAAAUAGAAAAAUAUAGAUGUUAUAUAAGACAGCAAUACCCACACGCAAGAGUUUGUCUUUAAAUAUUAUCUCCUUCGUGCUUGUGUAACUAGUCAUAAUAGUCAUUUCAUAAUUUGAUUGACUUAGCAUAAAAUGCUCAGGUAAGGAUAUGACCUCUGGGAGGAAUACAUUACUGCUACAUGUACAUCGCCGAAAUAUAUAUUCUUAAUGCACAUAUAAAGAGGUAUUGAUCAUUCCAAUCAGCAAGUGCGUCUGGGUCAUCCCCAACCCCUCAUUCUACAAUACGAAACUUUUGGAAUGUGACGGAACGACCGAUUAUAUUUGACGUUUAUAUACCACGGUCACGUGAUAAUAACUAAUUGUAGGGCAAAGUUGACAUCGAUACAAAUGGAGUUUACGGACCGUAAAGAGCUACAUGUAUGUUCAGUCCUACGAUGAAGAUCCAAGUCACUAUUGGUGCUUAGUACCUGGGUGUAAAUUAGAUGGAAGGGAAAAGGCGCAUUUAGACGCGUAUCAUUGGAUGCAAGGCGUGAAGUUUUACCGAUAUCCUCAAGAUGUUCUCUAGAUUUAUUUCCCUCGCCAACUCACACAAUUUGAUCAAAUGCAUUUUCCUAUAAAAUGGUUGUAGUGAUUCCUUUUUUUAAAAGAUAGCAUUUAAAUGCAGGGAUUUGAUAGCAAUUGAAAUAUAACAUGUUUGUUUACUUAAUUGUUAUUGUAAUCCGAAAGUGACAUGCCCUACAAAUUACGUUCAACGCGCAAUAAAAGUCAGAGUGGAUCCGUAUCCUGAGAGUAUCACUCAAAUAUCUUCAAAACAGACGAGAUCCUCACCGGUACCAUAUACAUUCUAACUGCAUAUGACAAUUAAGAUGCAUUGAGUAUUCUGUUUGGCAAGUACCCUGGGGUAAUCCAAAACCCCAUUUCAUAAUUGUUGAAAUAUAUUUAAAACAAAUUGAGGUCCUGACCCCAAAACCAUUGAUAGUCUUGCUGCACAUGAGCAGUGUGAUGAGUAAGUGCCCUAUGAUCAUCCCAAGCCAAACCCAAUUUGAGUUUAGAAUUGUUAAAAUGGUUCAGCACGUAUUUACACUUGGCACCAAGUUUUUCUUCUUCGUUUUCCCACCCCAUUUGCCCCUCAGUGUGAAAAAGAAAAUUCCGAAAACCUAUUGCACAUCUAAAGGACACCACCAUUCAUCUACAAAAAGAUGAUUUCGCUACUGCAUAAAAUGUAAGAGGAAUUCUGGGAAUCAGGUUUUUCUAUAGAAUAACGUCAUUUUCAACCUGGCCCUAAUAUGAUGGGUUUUUUGGAUGAUCCUGGAGUACCUGCAAUUACUCAUCAGAACAAUCAAUGCAUCUUGAUAUGUGCAGUCAAUUUCUAGAGAAUGAACAGAAAGGGCCGGAGAAAAUGAGUGUGUUGUAGUAACUCAGCAUCCAAGCUAUUAUCCAGACCGGGCUUAAAUUUAUUAGGACCCUACACUCUUAUUGAAACCCUAGAUCAAUUAAUUAUUGUAGAUUAAGAGUGUUUCGUCGGCGUUUUGGAUAUCAAUGUUCAUUCACACAGGCCUGCCUCAUCAUUGCCAAUGAAAUUAAAUGGUAAAUUGUCCUGUACAUGCUUCAGCUUUCAGUCAUAACAAGAUCACGAUGUUCUUGUGUUUACCAUCAGCUUAAAUAGGGCCCGAAUAAAUUUGAUGACAUGUCUGGAUGAUAGGGUGCUAAGCUAUUACAACACAACAGUUUUGAAAAUGUGCAAGAUUCCUAUUUGUCAAUAUAAAACAAGGGGCGUGCCAAUUAUGUUCAAAAUGUGAGGAUAUCAGAAGUGAGAGAUACGUUACUUUCACCCGACUCUACGAUUGAACGAUUUGUUAUGUUCAGGUUCAUGGUAGAUACGUUAAAUAAUCUUUCAUUUCAAUGGUCUUAUGAACUCUUGUGCCCUUUACUUUGAAAAUUAGAUUGGAGAUAUCGUCGAAAUAAGUGUAUUACCUUUCAGAAUCAAAAGACACCAUAUUGAUGUCAGGUGAUAUUGAGGCAAAUGAGCAGAAAGACAAAACAAAAGCUUUGCACUUAAAUUUACAUCAGAAGUAAUGCAUUACUUUUAAUUUAACGGACACACGAUCCCAUUCCUUGUGUUACAGUAUAUGCCUUUGAAAUAGAAACGUUAAAUUUCAUACAUUUCCGUAUAAUGGGCAAUUGAUCAUGAGUAGCAAGCGACCUAAAAUCUUCUCAUUUAAAUGAUAAUACUGUCAGAGUACAAUCUCCGACAUGAUUUUAGGUCUCUGGGGGUCACUUAGUUUGAACUAUAGUAAUUGACAUAUGAUAAAAUUUUAAAGAAAAACAUAUAGCAUUUUAAUUUUCUCUCUGUAUUUGAGAUUUGUAUGGUAUUUAAGUAUUGAUGUACACAUGUACAAGCAAAUCUUUAUUUCCGCACGUAAUCGAAAAAUCGAAUACUUUUCUCUUGGCCUUAAUAUAUUGCAUAUGCCAGGACAGAUUUAAAGCCUAUCCGGUUUAUCACGUAUCUUGUCUGGACUUAGUUAUCUGACGCAACGUAUCCCAUCAAAGAAAGCAACAGAAUUAUAAAAGAGCGCCGCUAACAACUCUUUAUAUUUCGGUAUUUUCAAAAUCAAAUUUGUCACGUAGGGCUCACAGUAGAUGUGCUUUUUCCUCCUGGGCAUUAGAGCCCACAUCUCUGGUAUAUCCAGGGGUCCGUGUUUGCCCUUCUCUUCAUUUUGUAAAUUUUGAUCACUCUACACUUUUACAUAUAUUUCAUCUUGCAUUCUUUAUAGGAUUUAUAAAAUUGAUUACUCAUCGUUCCUUUUCUUUUCUAAAUCAUGUAUAUAUAUAAAUCAUUUCGUUUUUUGUCAAUCACUUGCUUUAAAUUAAAGACUUACGUACUAAACUCCUCAUAGAACUUAUCUCCCAAACAUGUUGUUUACUUUCGUUAUUUCAGAGUUGAAAAACAGUAACAGCCUAGCACUAACAAAACCGCUCAGUACAGUCUAGGCAACUCUCGGAAGUAUUGAUUUCUACCCCUGCGCGCAUGACCCAAAUGACGCAUUUGUUUACAAACACAAUAACGAAAACACAGUAUGCAAUCAGCUGACCGCCUGAGCCGGGUUGAAAAUAGUUAAUGCAAUGUUACUGUUGAUUGAUUGCUUUGGCGCUUUGGUAAAUAAAAUAGGUUAAAUAAAACUUUUGUUUAUUUUGGAACUUUGUCAAAUAGAUAUAAAUGGGUAUAGAAUGAUUUGUAAAACUUCAGUCACAGUGCUGAGCUGAGCUGUACAUUGCAUUGCAAAACUCUGCACUGGAAUUUUAAGAUUUUACCUUUUAAAUCUAUAAAUGAAAAGAAAGUUAAAGCAACAAGAAAACGGUCAGAUAUUGACAUAAUAUGCGGGGAUUAUUUUCCACCUGAAGGACACUGUGCCAUUUUGAUUUGUGGAGAGCAAUUAGAUGAUGAGUUGAUCAAGUCAUAUUUAUAUUUUGGGGGAUCAAGACAUACAGGAGUCUACAUGGUGUCUGGGAUCAAGCCCAUUUAUUAUUUCAUAUGUUAUCUCUGAAAAUGAUGUUAUUAGUGAUAUUAAAAGAUGCGACACAUUUGUCUGUAAUUGUUGGAUCCAAUGAUGCAAUACAUGUAGGGGAGGAAUGGAUACAUCAUCUAUGAGAGUUUUGCAUGACUUAUAUCUUCUCAAACGGAAAGGUGCAAAGUUUGAGGUUAUCCUUGCACAAGACAGUAAAGAUGAGAGGAAUGUAACUAAAAUCAAACAAACUGCGGAUGUUCCACUCGGCAGAUUCGGGCAUUCUCUUACAAAAUUACAUGAUCAGUCAGCAAUAUUACAUGGGGGAAUUACACUGCCCUUUCGUGAAGCAGCAGGACUUGCAUCCCCAUUUCAAGAAACAUGUGAUGAUGGAAAAUUCUAUUUACUUAAUUUAGACUCAUUGAGCUGGUCCAUAAUUAAUGUUCCAGAUGUCCAUAGCAGAGCAUUUUAUACUGCUACAUAUGAUCAAAAAAUGAAAUGUAUAUACAUAAUUGGAGGAGUGACAUAUCAGGAAUGUACCCCAAGGUCACGCCUGCCAGUUCAUGAUGUACUGGUUUUGAGAAUCCCUGAUAAAAACAACAUCACUUUGGACAGGAUCAUAUUUCAGUCACCACCCAAUAUUGAAAACCUUGGGCUGUCAUAUCACAGUGACAUAUCAGGAAUGUACCCCAAUGUCACGCCUGCCAGUUCAUGAUGUACUGGUUUUGAGAAUCCCUGAUAAAAAUAACAUCACUUCUAGAAGAUGGUAAAGUGAUAAUUGUGGGAGGUUUUACACAAAUAGGACAGUUUCAAGCAGAUGAACAACCUUCAAAUCAUUUGAAAUAACAAUCCUGAAAAGUUCCAAGACUUCAACCUCGUAUGGUUUCAACGGAUAUGAUUUUUUAUUACACUUUAAUCCACAAACCCUGCAAAUGUGCACCAAAUUUACCAAAUGUGCAUCCAUAUUUAUUACAACUAGGCGCAGGCUAAACAAAGAAAUACACAAUAUUCACAAUGCACAAUUCUGAACACAGCAUGCAGCAAUACGAGCGUGAGCUGAGUGAUUUACAAAUGGCUGACAAAAUGUCCGACAAGACCUUGUUCAACCGCUUGGGUUAAGUAAACAUGACCCUAAAUUCUGAAUAAAGACUCUCGACAUGUCAACAAUGAAACGAAAGUAGAGUAUUCAUUUUAUUCAUACCAAAAUAUCUCUUUCUUGUACAUAAAUCAGCUUUUUAUUUAUGAAUUUUCAAAGUUAGCAUGUCAUCUUAAGUCCAAGAAGCAAUCCUAAACACACUACUACUUCAAAAACUAAUAUUUACCGAAUGUUCACCAUUUCUUCUUCACGAACUAGCUACGUGACGGGAAAUUC